AACAGAUGUCAGAUCGUUCUGCUGUUUUACAGUCCAAAAAUGUGAUUAAAACCUCAGAAAUGGAGCUUCCCACGACUGUAAAAAGUUUGGUUGAAGAUUUCUGCCAAAUGCCAAAGCUCUAAAACAAGUGUCUCUCGAUUCCACAUCCAUAAUGUUCUUGCAGUUCGCGAAUGUAUGUGUUUCCCAAAUCCGUUCCAUCCUCACUGUGGCGUCAAGAUUUUUCUUAGCUUUUUUCAUUCCGGUAACGUGGCGCGUAACAAAAGUACCUCAGUACUCAAACUACGAGGAACGUUCAGCAAGUAAUGCAACACUUUUUUUCCUGAAACCAUGGACCGCAAUGUGAUGCUAAAGUGCACUUGAGAUAAUACGAAAUAAUCGUAAGAAAGAAAAGAAAUAGCUCGCAAAAUCAUCAUACACACGGACACAGCUGAAAAAGUCUUCCAGACCAUAUAAUACUGGUUUCGUACGUGUAUACGUAUCGCAGAAUGGUUAGCUCAAACAGAGCUUCCAGCCAUCUGGCGACUAUCUAGGGAAACGGGGCAAAUAGUUCAUCACGCAGCCGCUGUUGAGUGCUGCAUGUAUGAGCGUUUUACACCUGAUGUGAAAAGAAGCUGGAAAUUAAACCAUAAGCGAGACAUCGCUUUAUCAACUUCUCAGUGUAGCAGUAAUCUUAAUUUUAAUUGUUUUUCGGGUAACUGAUUUUAUUACUGACGCCAAUCAAGCUGUCAGUAACAGGACGUUCUCACUUUGUGUUUUAUCACAUCGAAGUAAUAUUAACCAGAGUGCGCGGUUGACAUUAUUUUCCAGCACACGAUUAAGACCACCAAAAGCAGCAACAUUAAUACAAUUUUUGACAGCAUUGCUGGUUUGCCAGUAAUGCUCAUAUAAUAAUGAGAAUGGUAUAUUUGGAAGUGGAUACUUGCACUGCCAUGCACUAGUGAUGGGCUGAACUGCGAUUUUCCGAUUAGAGUGAAGUGCGAAUGCUAAUUUUCAGUAUCUGAUAUUCUUAAUCGUGAUUUGUCGCAGUUAAGGAACCAAGGCAGCACCCCCUAUAGAGGAUCUAGGUCGUGUAUCCCUCCGCAUUCUACCACUGCGAUUUUCUGGGAUUUCUGUGACUUACCACCGUAUGAAAAAGGUACAUCUGUCCACACAGAAAAUUGCAUCUCAACAAAACUGUCAUUAGUGAGUAUGUUUUACGUUUGUUUUUCCGUUGGCUUUAAUUUUGUAUUAAAGAAACAACUGUGAAAAUAUUAAUACUGUAAUUAAUACGUAAGUAGCCACACAGUACCGUAAUAGUUCGUGUUUAGAAAAUGAAUUCUGACAUAUUGUUAUGUUCACAGGUACCCGAACUACAUUUCAGUCACUCACUGUCAACAGAUCUGGAGAAAUUGCCACCCUGUAGACAGUCUUCGUCAAACAAGAGACGCAGUUCUGACUCUGACUCUGAUUACUGGUUACUGUACGUAUCUCUCCAUAUCAAGGCUGUUGAGAGAGACUGAUGAAGAUUCAAGACAGCUCUUAGAGGAUUUGCAGCUUAAAAGUGCCAUAAUUAUGAAAUAAGUGUGCAGA
This is a long non-coding RNA of Schistocerca serialis cubense, 1569 nucleotides long. RefSeq lists it as uncharacterized. The record is from RefSeq and is a predicted model, not a curated record. The transcript has 2 exons. NCBI's taxonomy places the organism in Eukaryota, Metazoa, Arthropoda, Insecta, Orthoptera, Acrididae.